Long non-coding RNA from Quercus robur (English oak), 244 nucleotides. RefSeq lists it as uncharacterized. Lineage: Eukaryota; Viridiplantae; Streptophyta; Magnoliopsida; Fagales; Fagaceae. The record is from RefSeq and is a predicted model, not a curated record. The transcript is spliced from 3 exons.
AGUGCCAGCACUUAGGGGAAAGGACUACGGCAAGACUAAAAUGCGUUAUUCGGACUACACAGAGACAGAAGCAGGUCUUCAGUAUAAGGACUUGCGAGUAGGAAAUGGCCCCAUACCAAAGAUGGGAGAGACUGUAGUGAUGGUGGAGACUGAGUUACAGCAGAGGGCGAGUGAGAGAGUAGAGAGGGUGACGUGCGACAGUGGGUCGGUGAGCGAGAGAGUGAGAGGGUGACUGAGCGGUGAG